GUGUAGUUUGGAAGGAGAGCAAGUUAGCACUCCCCUAGACAAGGAUGGAAACACAUUCAUGGACGGUUGGGCACAAGACGAAACCGUCCAAAAGUUUUU
Small nuclear RNA from Scaptodrosophila lebanonensis, 99 nucleotides. NCBI's taxonomy places the organism in Eukaryota, Metazoa, Arthropoda, Insecta, Diptera, Drosophilidae. The record is from RefSeq and is a predicted model, not a curated record.